UCGAGGAUCUUCGGCAAUGGGCGCAAGCCUGACCGAGCGACGCCGCGUGUGCGAUGAAGGCCUUCGGGUUGUAAAGCACUGUCGAGGGGGAGGAAAGCCGCAAGGUCUGACCUAUCCCUGGAGGAAGCACGGGCUAAGUUCGUGCCAGCAGCCGCGGUAAGACGAACCGUGCGAACGUUGUUCGGAAUCACUGGGCUUAAAGGGCGCGUAGGCGGUUGAUCAAGUCUGGGGUGAAAUCUUUCGGCUUAACCGGAAAAGUGCCUUGGAUACUGGUCAGCUGGAGGGAGGUAGGGGCAGUUGGAACUUCCAGUGGAGCGGUGAAAUGCGUUGAUAUUGGAAGGAACGCCGGUGGCGAAAGCGAGCUGCUGGACCUCUUCUGACGCUGAUGCGCGAAAGCUAGGGGAGCAAACGG
RNAcentral lists this ribosomal RNA (412 nucleotides) under uncultured bacterium. Its description in RNAcentral is "bacterial SSU rRNA". It matches the Rfam family "Bacterial small subunit ribosomal RNA", at positions 355 to 775 of the family's 1533-position model. The record is from RNAcentral.